UGGUGAUGAAAUUCAAACAAACAGCUGGAAUUACCGGCAGAUUGUUUAGUGGUGACGCUUUGUUUUCUGAAC
Molecule: small nucleolar RNA, 72 nt
Organism: Gasterosteus aculeatus aculeatus (three-spined stickleback)
Lineage: Eukaryota; Metazoa; Chordata; Actinopteri; Perciformes; Gasterosteidae
Source: Ensembl